Molecule: long non-coding RNA, 1607 nt
Organism: Coffea arabica (coffee)
Lineage: Eukaryota; Viridiplantae; Streptophyta; Magnoliopsida; Gentianales; Rubiaceae
Source: RefSeq, a predicted model, not a curated record
ACUGUCUAUUUCAUAUCUUCUCAUAUCUUUCCGAUUUGCAACUCCCAAGCCCAAACAAACUGUUAGUGAAUCCACCCGCACCAUAGUAAAAUCAGGGCCGGGUUGGUAUAAAACUUAUACUAGUGAAUAGUUGUAGUAUUUUCUUCAGUAUAAUGGAAAGGCAUAUAUUCGUACACGUAGACCAAAAGCAGCCCGGAUCGGCCUUUAUAUAAACAUGCAUAAACAAGGGUUUUCAGCAGCAUAGCAGCUAGUAGAGAAAACAGCCUGAAUCCAGGUUUCUACUAGUCUCUUUCUCCCAUUUCCUAAUGGAUCUGGCCGGUCAUAAGUUGAAGAUAAGCAGCCAAUCCAAGAUGCUGCUUUCGGCUGCAUUUGCACCUGCACCUCCACUUCUUUCAUUUACUUCUUUCAGUUCUUUGUCUCAAUUAUAUAUAUUUUAUCCAUCUUUUUGUUUCCCUUCAAUAAUGCUUCAUUAAUUUACUUUUUUCUCCCUUGUUUUCCUUUUCAUUUCAUGAAAGUGAACUCUGGACGCAGCCAGCAUAAAGGGCUACUACUAGUUCACUAAUCCAGCAACAAAUCCUCUACCAUGACCCCCCCCCCCCAUCUUUCCCCACUCGAAAAUUAUCAUAUAUAUUAAAGGGACGACAAAGAAGAGAAAGAAGAGGUGCGGGUGCAGAUGCAGGUGAACGCCAUCUUGGUCUAGAUUUCUGUACUAUGUAUUUUGUUUUGGAACAAGCCAAAUGUACUACGACAUAUGCAGCUUCCUUAGCCUCCAAGAUAUGUGGAUCUAUGAGCUUCAAAGACUAAUGAGCUUUUGAGAAAGUCUUUGGCGGACAUGCAUUUAAACAUCUCUGCCGGAUCAGUUGCGGCCUCUCCCAUAUGAAUAAAGAUGCCUGCUUACUGCCUCGGUGAAUCCAAUUAAUUGGCAUAUCCACCAUGAUCUCCAAAUAAGAACCUCGCAACUUCAUCAGCAGAAAUUUCCACAUCGCUCGCACAAGUUAAAAUAGGUUUAGACAUUGAAAUUGAACCAGACAUUUCGUCUCCUGCAAAAAUUUGGAAGGGAUUGAAAUUUGAUUAGUACGAUCGAGGUGGAAAGACGAUGGCUGCAGGUGCAAUAAAAGUCGGACGAGACAGAUAAGGAUAUGGUAUGACUUUAGGACCAUUUUGAUUUUUGGGGGCUGCAGGAUUUGUGUUAAGAACAGCAUCAACAGAGGCUUUGGCUUGGAUCAAGAGCCACUCCACAGUUUGGCCAGCAGUACGAUGACCAAGCCUUUUUCUGAGCUCAAACACACGAUCAGCACAUCCUAUUGGCAAAACAAUUCUUCUGUCUUUGCCACGCACGUUCGAAUGUCGAUCAGAAGAAGAAGCCUUUUUGCAAAAACUGUUCAUUCUCGGACCUACAAAUUUGGAGGGCUUUGGCACAUUUGAUGGGGCGUUUGAAGAGACCAUUUUCUGAAUCGAUUAGCUUAAGCUUCUUUGGUGCUCGAGUAUUAUUGGCAGGAGAAGUAGUAGUUAUAUUUAUACAAGUACAAUGAGGUUGAAUUUGCAAUGCAAUAUGACAUCAAUUCAUAUUCAUAUUUUCUUUUUAUUAGUAUACUAAAAUAAUAACG